UUGAACGCUGGCGGUAUGCUUAAGACAUGCAAGUCGAACGGGGCCCUUCGGGGUUCAGUGGCGGACGGGUGAGUAACACGUGGGAAUCUGCCCAAUAGUGGGGGACAGCCCGGCGAAAGCCGGAUUAAUACCGCAUACGCCCUACGGGGGAAAGGCGCAAGCCGCUAUUGGAUGAGCCCGCGUAAGAUUAGCUAGUUGGUGAGGUAAAGGCCUACCAAGGCGACGAUCGGUAGCUGGUCUGAGAGGACGACCAGCCACACUGGGACUGAGACACGGCCCAGACUCCUACGGGAGGCAGCAGUGGGGAAUAUUGGACAAUGGGGGCAACCCUGAUCCAGCAAUGCCGCGUGGGUGAAGAAGGCCUGCGGGUUGUAAAGCCCUUUCGACGGGGAGGAAGGCACCGGCGCGAAUAGCGUUGGUGAUUGACGUAACCUGGAGAAGAAGCACCGGCUAACUCCGU
This 460-nucleotide ribosomal RNA is filed under the name uncultured bacterium. RNAcentral describes it as "bacterial SSU rRNA". It matches the Rfam family "Bacterial small subunit ribosomal RNA", at positions 29 to 506 of the family's 1533-position model. The record is from RNAcentral.